ACCACGCCGCCCACAACCCCGCGGACGCGCUCGGCAGCAUCCUGACCAACCCGGAGAUCAUGCGGCAGUUGCAGAGUCUGCAGGCGCAGAUGCAGAUGAUGACCGGCCUGCAGGCGCCCACGCAGGCAGCGGGCGCGGCGGGCGCUGCCGGCG
Long non-coding RNA from Papilio xuthus (Asian swallowtail), 153 nucleotides. RefSeq lists it as uncharacterized. The record is from RefSeq and is a predicted model, not a curated record. Lineage: Eukaryota; Metazoa; Arthropoda; Insecta; Lepidoptera; Papilionidae. The transcript is spliced from 3 exons.